This 294-nucleotide long non-coding RNA is filed under the name Gossypium barbadense (sea-island cotton). Its description in RNAcentral is "long non-coding RNA (GBAR_LNC021733)". Lineage: Eukaryota; Viridiplantae; Streptophyta; Magnoliopsida; Malvales; Malvaceae. The record is from RNAcentral.
GUCACGGACUUGGAGUUUUCCCACACAUCCGUGCGGCCUUAGGCAGUUUCUUGGCUUAAAAAUGCCUAAGUCAGCCUAACUUCCACCAAUAAUGGAUUCAACUGUAAAAACGCCUAAGUCAGCUCAACUCGCAACAAUAAAGGAUUCAACAGAAUUCCCUUAAAGUUUCCAUGAAGAACAGCGGAAGAACGAAUUAAGAACGAUCUUUGAAAGAUGAACAAAAGCAAGAACGCUUGAGAGAAAAGUUUGAGUAAAUGCUCUCAAUUCUUAUUCACAAAGAAUAAUGAAACAAUU